GUUGUAGUGGCCUAUACUUAAGGUUUAACUCUGAAACAGUUAAGAAGAUUUUUUAAUCCUGCGACA
RNAcentral lists this transfer RNA (66 nucleotides) under Parantropora penelope. RNAcentral's name for it is "tRNA-Phe". Lineage: Eukaryota; Metazoa; Bryozoa; Gymnolaemata; Cheilostomatida; Antroporidae. The record is from RNAcentral.